AGAACCAUUUGGGGACUAAGGUAUUUUUCUGUAUUUUCUGUGUUGUAUUUUUCUGUCCUCAUGAAUCCCUGUUGUCUCUCAGAAACUCCAAUUGCUCAUCCAGGAGACCACUUGAUGUGACAAGGCUCACUGACUCUGAGCUCCAGGUAUGCAGAGUGGGUCCAGUUGGUGGAGGUCUGCCAGGCUGUCAUGUUUCAGUUCCAUCUCCAUCAUCACUAAGACAGAUAUUGAACGCAUGAGGAGGAGGAGGACGAGGAGUGCAGGUCCAUCCUGACCACACUGAAUCCAGACUGCCCUCAAUCCAUUAAGGACUGAAGAUUGUACCAGGCCAUGAAAUCAUCCAAAACUUAAGUUUUAAAAAUAUUUUCAUUAAUUAAAAACAAGCAUUAUCCAAGUUCUAAAGUAGCAGUACAUUUAUCCAAAAUAAUAUUUUUUUCUAUGAUCAAUUUUGUUACAAUUAUCUAAAACACAGACAGGUAUGCAAACAUUACCUAAUAUUUUUAUCGAAACAGGUGGUAGUGU
This 522-nucleotide long non-coding RNA is filed under the name Heterocephalus glaber (naked mole-rat). RNAcentral's name for it is "lncRNA (ENSHGLG00100026385.2)". The record is from RNAcentral. Lineage: Eukaryota; Metazoa; Chordata; Mammalia; Rodentia; Bathyergidae.